AUGGAAUAUCUCACAAUAACUACAAUGGGUGUUGUUAAGAAAGCUCUUGACAAUGGAGUUCUACAAGGAGAGGCCUAUGUUGAUACAAUUGGAGAUCCUGAAAAGUACAACACUAAACUUAGUGAUAAGUUUCUAGGCAUCAAAUUUGUGGUUGCCAAGAAAGCUGAGAGUCUCUAUCCUGCUGUUAGGGGAGCAAGUAUAUUUAUAAAGGGAUUUCCUUUCAAUCUCUUAUUCCUAUUGAGUUCUUUCAUGUCUUUUGUUCAGAAGAACUCUGAUGCAUGCAGAAUGCUUAAUAGGUUAACUAUAUAUCUUCUCUGUUGA
This 321-nucleotide ribosomal RNA is filed under the name Triticum aestivum (bread wheat). Its description in RNAcentral is "partial small subunit ribosomal RNA". Lineage: Eukaryota; Viridiplantae; Streptophyta; Magnoliopsida; Poales; Poaceae. The record is from RNAcentral.